Molecule: ribosomal RNA, 490 nt
Filed under: uncultured bacterium
Lineage: Bacteria
Description: partial 16S ribosomal RNA
Rfam family: Bacterial small subunit ribosomal RNA
Source: RNAcentral
AUUGAACGCUGGCGGCAGGCCUAACACAUGCAAGUCGAAUGGUAACAGGAAACAGCUUGCUGUUUCGCUGACGAGUGGCGGACGGGUGAGUAAUGUCUGGGAAACUGCCUGAUGGAGGGGGAUAACUACUGGAAACGGUAGCUAAUACCGCAUAACGUCGCCAGACCAAAGAGGGGGACCUUCGGGCCUCUUGCCAUCAGAUGUGCCCAGAUGGUAUUAGCUAGUCGGUGGGGUAACGGCUCACCUAGGCGACGAUCCCUAGCUGGUCUGAGAGGAUGACCAGCCACACUGGAACUGAGACACGGUCCAGACUCCUACGGGAGGCAGCAGUGGGGAAUAUUGCACAAUGGGCGCAAGCCUGAUGCAGCCAUGCCGCGUGUAUGAAGAAGGCCUUCGGGUUGUAAAGUACUUUCAGCGGGGAGGAAGGGAGUAAGGUUAAUACCUUUGCUCAUUGACGUUACCCGCAGAAGAAGCACCGGCUAACUCCGUG